This 1429-nucleotide ribosomal RNA is filed under the name Flavobacterium sp. Salman1. Its description in RNAcentral is "bacterial SSU rRNA". It matches the Rfam family "Bacterial small subunit ribosomal RNA". Lineage: Bacteria; Pseudomonadati; Bacteroidota; Flavobacteriia; Flavobacteriales; Flavobacteriaceae. The record is from RNAcentral.
GGGACUUGCGGGCGGCUACCAUGCAAGUCGAGGGGUAAAAGAAGCUUGCUUUUUUGAGACCGGCGCAGGGUGAGUAACGCGUAUGCAACCUACCUAAUACCGGGGAAUAGCCCGAAAAAUUUCGGAUUAAUGCUCCAUGGUUUAUCGAUGUGGCAUCGUAUUGAUAAUAAAGAUUUAUCGGUAUAACAUGGGCAUGCGUAUCAAUAGCUAGUUGGUGUGGUAACGGCAUACCAUGGCAACGAUGAUAUCGGGUCCUGAUAGGGAAAUCCCCCACACUGGUACUGAGACACGGACCAGACUCCUACGGGAGGCAGCAGUGAGGAAUAUUGGUCAAUGGAGGCAACUCUGAACCAGCCAUGCCGCGUGCAGGAUGACGGUCCUAUGGAUUGUAAACUGCUUUUGUACAGGAAGAAACCUCCCUACGAGUAGGGACUUGACGGUACUGUAAGAAUAAGGAUCGGCUAACUCCGUGCCACCCCCCGCGGUAAUACGGAGGAUCCGAGCGUUAUCCGGAAUUAUUGGGUUUAAAGGGUUCUUAGGCGGCUUUGUAAGUCAGUGUUGAUAUUACCUAACUUACCUAGGACACUGCCGUUGAUACUGCAUAACUUGAAUAAUAUGGAAUUAACUAGAAGAUGUAAUGUAUCGGUGAAAUGCUUAGAUAUGACAUGAAAUACCAAUUGCGAAGGCAGGUUACUACGUACUUAUGGACGCUGAUGAACGAAAGCGUGCGGAGCGAACAGGAUUAGAUACCCUGGUAGUCCACGCCGUACACGAUGGAUACUAUCUGUUCGGUUUUCGGACUGAGUGGCUAAGCGAAUGUGAUAAGUAUCCCACCUGGGGAGUACGUUCGCAAGAAUGAAACUCAGAGGAAUUGACGGGUGCCCGCACAAGCGGUGGAACAUGUGUUUAAUUCGAUGAUACGCGAGGAACCUUACCAGGACUUAAUGUACAUUGGACAGAUUUGGAAACAUAUUUUUCUUAGGCAAAUUUACAAGGUGCUGCAUGGUCGUCGUCAGCUAAAGCCUUGAGGUGUCAGCUUAAGUCGUAUAACGAGCGCAACCCCUAUUCUUAGUUACCAGCGGGUAAUUCAAGGGAGACUAGCAAGGAUAACCCGGCAAACCGUGGGGAAGGUGGGGAUGACGUCAAAUCAUCACGGCCAGGACGUCCUGGGCUACACAAUGGCUACAACAACAAGAACAGAAAGCAGGUACCCGGCAACAGGUUGCGAAUCUCCAAAGCUUGUCUCAGUUCGUAUUGGAGUCUGCAACUCGACUCUAUGAAGCGGGAAUCAUUAGUAAUCGGAUAUCAGCCGUGAUCCGUUGAAUAGGCUCCCGGGCCACCUACACUCCCACCGUCAGACCAGGGAAGAAGGGAGUACAGGAAGUCGGCGACCGCAAGGAGGGCAUACACUAUUGCUUUACUUUGGUUU